Molecule: long non-coding RNA, 1338 nt
Organism: Eucalyptus grandis
Lineage: Eukaryota; Viridiplantae; Streptophyta; Magnoliopsida; Myrtales; Myrtaceae
Exons: 7
Source: RefSeq, a predicted model, not a curated record
UCCGUUGCAGUGAGCUCAGCCACCGCAAAGCCUAGACCCCGUUUCCUCCUCUUCUUCCCCCACCUCCCUCCAUCCAUCUUCUUUCCAUCACCACUUCAGAUCUGAAUUGGUUGGUUCCCCGGAGAGUAAGACGCUUCGGAUUCCAGAUUUGUAGUGGCGGUCGGCGAUGAGGACGGACGGAAUUGAGGGUGAUCUUAUAAUGGCAGCACCUUAGGCUUAUGGCAUUUCGUUGUGAAGUAUGGCGCUUUGGGAUUGGUUGUGCGAGCAUGAAAAGGGGGAAGAUUUGGAGCGUUUGCAAGUUCCUCUGACGCACCAUCAGAGGGAGAAUGAAGACAAGCUUCGGACUGCAUUCACCGUGAUCGGGCGUUAAGCAAAUGUUGGACGACUACAGGCGUAUCAACACGUGACAGGGCAACCGCAGUUUUGGCUCUUGCAACUAGAGAUUCCAAAGCCUGAAGAUUUCGAGAGGCCGGGACAUGUUUUCCCAUUGAGUACAGGGAGGGUGGUGUCCUGAAAAGAGCUGGGCAUGCAGAGGCUUCUGUCGACCUUGCUGUGUUAGCUGGAUUGGAACCUGUGGCAGUUCUCUUCGCAAGGUUGUGGAUGAUGACGGCUUCAUGGCAAGAUUACCUGAGCUUCGUGAGUUUGCAUAGCGGGAGAGCUUGAAAAUUGUAUCUAUUGCUGAUCUAAUCAGAGCGACGUUGGAGGUGAUCAAGAUGUCCUUGUGAGGGUAUCCUGCAUCCCAGGAGACAUGUUUGGAUCUGCUCGACGCAACUGCGACCAGCUUGCAAUUGCGAUGCAGCAGAUAUAAGCGGCUGGUAGGGGCAUGCUGGUCUACCUCCGAGGGCACGAAGGAGAGGAAUAGGUUCGAGGCACAUAUCAUGUGCCUAUAACCUGCAGGAUGGUGAAUAGAGUUCAGUCAUCCAAAGGAGGCCCAGCCCUUUCACUGCCCUCACUCUUCGCAGGAAAGUUGCUGGAGACAGCCUGAUCUAUAGACAAAUGGACGCCUGGAAAGUAAGGGAUAAUUUUCCCGCAUCCAUCAUUGUGAGUUAGGAUAAUAAUUGUGAUGGUUUGUUGAAUUUGAGGAGGACUAUCAGACCAGUCCAUUUUGAGGUUAAUGGUAUUGAUUUAGCUGAAACUGAAGGAGGGGAGGUUGCAAUUACCAACUUGCAUUCAUGCAAUGGUCCUGAUUUUAUUAUUCAAGUCCAUUUUUCGAUCACAGAGGACACUGGCGCAAAUAGAACACUCGGUUUCACGGCAAUUCAUUUUGUUGAUAUGUACUUUUGAUCAGGAUGAGACAAGCUGUAAAAACUAUGAAAAAGAAGUGACAGUUCUUGCAUC